This 59-nucleotide non-coding RNA is filed under the name unclassified sequences. The record is from RNAcentral.
CGUGACGGGGGCGGCGGAUCAUCGCCGCUUUAAACGACAAGGCCCGGUCCGAAGUCCGG